Molecule: ribosomal RNA, 280 nt
Filed under: uncultured bacterium
Lineage: Bacteria
Description: partial 16S ribosomal RNA
Rfam family: Bacterial small subunit ribosomal RNA
Source: RNAcentral
UAGGGAAUCUUCCACAAUGGACACAAGUCUGAUGGAGCAACGCCGCGUGAGUGAAGAAGGCUUUCGGGUCGUAAAAACUCUGUUAUUGAAGAAGAACGUGUGUGACAGUAACUGGUCAUGCAGUGACGGCAUUCAAUCAGAAAGUCACGGCUAACUACGUGCCAGCAGCCGCGGUAAUACGUAGGUGGCAAGCGUUGUCCGGAUUUAUUGGGCGUAAAGCGAGUGCAGGCGGUCUUUUAAGUCUGAUGUGAAAGCCUUCGGCUUAACCGAAGAAGGGCAU